GAUGAACGCUGACAGAAUGCUUAACACAUGCAAGUCAACUUGAAUUUGGGUUUUUAACUUAGAUUUGGGUGGCGGACGGGUGAGUAACGCGUAAAGAACUUGCCUCACAGCUAGGGACAACAUUUAGAAAUGAAUGCUAAUACCUGAUAUUAUGAUUUUAAGGCAUCUUAGAAUUAUGAAAGCUAUAAGCACUGUGAGAGAGCUUUGCGUCCCAUUAGCUAGUUGGAGAGGUAACAGCUCACCAAGGCGAUGAUGGGUAGCCGGCCUGAGAGGGUGAACGGCCACAAGGGGACUGAGACACGGCCCUUACUCCUACGGGAGGCAGCAGUGGGGAAUAUUGGACAAUGGACCGAAAGUCUGAUCCAGCAAUUCUGUGUGCACGAUGAAGUUUUUCGGAAUGUAAAGUGCUUUCAGUUGGGAAGAAAGAAAUGACGGUACCAACAGAAGAAGUGACGGCUAAAUACGUGCCAGCAGCCGCGGUAAUACGUAUGUCACGAGCGUUAUCCGGAUUUAUUGGGCGUAAAGCGCGUCUAGGUGGUUAUGUAAGUCUGAUGUGAAAAUGCAGGGCUCAACUCUGUAUUGCGUUGGAAACUGUAUAACUAGAGUACUGGAGAGGUAAGCGGAACUACAAGUGUAGAGGUGAAAUUCGUAGAUAUUUGUAGGAAUGCCGAUGGGGAAGCCAGCUUACUGGACAGAUACUGACGCUAAAGCGCGAAAGCGUGGGUAGCAAACAGG
This 735-nucleotide ribosomal RNA is filed under the name uncultured Fusobacterium sp. Its description in RNAcentral is "bacterial SSU rRNA". It matches the Rfam family "Bacterial small subunit ribosomal RNA", at positions 28 to 776 of the family's 1533-position model. Lineage: Bacteria; Fusobacteriati; Fusobacteriota; Fusobacteriia; Fusobacteriales; Fusobacteriaceae. The record is from RNAcentral.